This is a non-coding RNA of Labrus bergylta (ballan wrasse), 1785 nucleotides long. NCBI's taxonomy places the organism in Eukaryota, Metazoa, Chordata, Actinopteri, Labriformes, Labridae. The record is from RefSeq and is a predicted model, not a curated record.
ACACUUUACAAAGGAGCAGGUUAAAGAGCUUACUCUUUGUUAUGUCAGUACCUAUCAGUUUUAACUAUUAAUACAAGAAUACAGUCCUUUAUUUUACAAUACAGGUUUCAAAUGUAUUCUAUUAGAUUCAAACAACUUUAUUGAUCCCUCUUGGGGCAAUUGGUGGUCUUUUAAGUUUAUAUUCAUAAGUUAGUCGUGUCCACUCACCAGGCGAGAUCUUCUUUGCUGCCUUUAGUGAGUCAAUGAACUUCAGACUGCAGAGAAGGCACGAAAUCAAGACCAACCUUUAUUUUACUAAAUGGGUGGCACACUGACUGCUUACCUGCGAGGUCUGCAGGGCACUGUGCCAGGUGAGGACGGUGAGGACUCAAUGCUCCAGGGACCAGCUGCUGCAGCUGAACUUUGCCGGUCCAGCUCAGCCGACUGAUCCCACGCUGCAACUACCGGACUUUAUUCUGAGAGAUGAACAUGGUGGUGUUAAGAUGGACAAGAAGAGAAAGCGGGGCAAACGAGGAGGCGUCAGACUACACAUGAGGAAACAGCGGCUCACUGGGAUUCCUCUGCCCACGGUUAUCAUGGGGAACGUAUCGUUACGCCCUUUUUUACCUGCCCCGCGAGCUCCCUCAACUUUUUAAUACUAUGGUGUAUGGCUUUAUUCACCUGAAGGUAGACGCUGCCUCUGCCUCAGGUACCGUCUUGUAAUGCAGAAACUGCAGUCGAUCUCGCCUGAUGCACUGAACUUCAUACUGUUUGUUUUUAAUCACGUCUCUCUCAAAAACUCACUCAUGUCACCUGUCCAACUAGACAGACAUCGGAUCUUUGUUAUGGGUCUGUUAAGGACAAAUACAAAUCCCUCCCACUUCCUCCUCUGGGCUCGGCGGAUCAUAACUGCCCACGCAGGACUGUUUUAAAGAGAGACAAAGUUAAGACUAAAGACAUGAAGGUCUGGUCAGGAGAGGCAGUUAUCUGCCUGCAAGAAUGUUAGAACUGCAUUGACUGGGACAUUUUUACACAGUCCCGUGGAGAUGAUGUGGACCCCUUGGUGGAUGUAUACCUGCUCAUAUGUGACCUUCUGUAGGGACAUGAUCAUCCCCUGUAAGCGUGUUAAAAAUGUAGCCUUUCCCAACAAUAAACCAUGAGUUACCUCAUCUGUAAAGUCCUGCUUAAGAAGGAAGAAAUUUUGAAGAGGGAUCAUCAUCUGAUAUACAUUCAGCUACUAAGGAGCUGAAGAUUGAACUUUAAAAUCAAAGCUGAACUACAAGUCAGAACUGGAAAUUUUGGCUCAGCCUGCAUGGGCGACUAUGAAAACCAUAGCAGGUCUCCAAAAUACAGAGAGUAUCAUUCAUGUCAUUUUAGAUGCUUUUAACUCAGAUACUGAAUUGGCUAAUGUUCUUAAUUGCUUUGACUGUCGUUUUGAUCCUCUUGACUUUAGCACCCUGAGUACCAGCCCCUCCCUUCAGGUAGAUGAUACAGGGUACCCUUACAGUAGGAACAAGAGCUUCAAAUAUUCCUUUGUCCCCUUGUCCAUCAAAGCCCUCAACACUAAGCUGUAAUGUGUAUGUAUGUAUGUGUGUAUGUGUGUAGAUGUACCUGCACUGUUCAUUACUUCUCUUAAUUUUCACACAUUUCUGGUUUUAGUAAUUCACUCGUAUGGAAUUGAAUGAUUAUUUAACUGACAUGUUUUACUAACGAAUGAAUGUAUUUUGAUAAUUUGCUACUGUAUCAGAACACUGUGAUGUCCAAGGUGAAUUUCCCACUAGGACAAUACAGUUCAUCUUAUCUUUA